GUUAAGCGACUAAGCGUACACGGUGGAUGCCCUGGCAGUCAGAGGCGAUGAAGGACGUGCUAAUCUGCGAUAAGCGUCGGUAAGGUGAUAUGAACCGUUAUAACCGGCGAUUUCCGAAUGGGGAAACCCAGUGUGAUCCGUCACACUAUCAUUAACUGAAUCCAUAGGUUAAUGAGGCGAACCGGGGGAACUGAAACAUCUAAGUACCCCGAGGAAAAGAAAUCAACCGAGAUUCCCCCAGUAGCGGCGAGCGAACGGGGAGGAGCCCAGAGCCUGAAUCAGUAUGUGUGUUAGUGGAAGCGUCUGGAAAGGCGUGCGAUACAGGGUGACAGCCCCGUACACAAAAAUGCACAUGCUGUGAGCUCGAUGAGUAGGGCGGGACACGUGGUAUCCUGUCUGAAUAUGGGGGGACCAUCCUCCAAGGCUAAAUACUCCUGACUGACCGAUAGUGAACCAGUACCGUGAGGGAAAGGCGAAAAGAACCCCGGCGAGGGGAGUGAAAAAGAACCUGAAACCGUGUACGUACAAGCAGUGGGAGCCUCUUUAUGGGGUGACUGCGUACCUUUUGUAUAAUGGGUCAGCGACUUAUAUUCUGUAGCAAGGUUAACCGAAUAGGGGAGCCGAAGGGAAACCGAGUCUUAACUGGGCGUUAAGUUGCAGGGUAUAGACCCGAAACCCGGUGAUCUAGCCAUGGGCAGGUUGAAGGUUGGGUAACACUAACUGGAGGACCGAACCGACUAAUGUUGAAAAAUUAGCGGAUGACUUGUGGCUGGGGGUGAAAGGCCAAUCAAACCGGGAGAUAGCUGGUUCUCCCCGAAAGCUAUUUAGGUAGCGCCUCGUGAAUUCAUCUCCGGGGGUAGAGCACUGUUUCGGCAAGGGGGUCAUCCCGACUUACCAACCCGAUGCAAACUGCGAAUACCGGAGAAUGUUAUCACGGGAGACACACGGCGGGUGCUAACGUCCGUCGUGAAGAGGGAAACAACCCAGACCGCCAGCUAAGGUCCCAAAGUCAUGGUUAAGUGGGAAACGAUGUGGGAAGGCCCAGACAGCCAGGAUGUUGGCUUAGAAGCAGCCAUCAUUUAAAGAAAGCGUAAUAGCUCACUGGUCGAGUCGGCCUGCGCGGAAGAUGUAACGGGGCUAAACCAUGCACCGAAGCUGCGGCAGCGACACUAUGUGUUGUUGGGUAGGGGAGCGUUCUGUAAGCCGUUGAAGGUGUGCUGUGAGGCAUGCUGGAGGUAUCAGAAGUGCGAAUGCUGACAUAAGUAACGAUAAAGCGGGUGAAAAGCCCGCUCGCCGGAAGACCAAGGGUUCCUGUCCAACGUUAAUCGGGGCAGGGUGAGUCGACCCCUAAGGCGAGGCCGAAAGGCGUAGUCGAUGGGAAACAGGUUAAUAUUCCUGUACUUGGUGUUACUGCGAAGGGGGGACGGAGAAGGCUAUGUUGGCCGGGCGACGGUUGUCCCGGUUUAAGCGUGUAGGCUGAUUUUCCAGGCAAAUCCGGAGAAUCAAGGCUGAGGCGUGAUGACGAGGCACUACGGUGCUGAAGCAACAAAUGCCCUGCUUCCAGGAAAAGCCUCUAAGCAUCAGGUAACAUCAAAUCGUACCCCAAACCGACACAGGUGGUCAGGUAGAGAAUACCAAGGCGCUUGAGAGAACUCGGGUGAAGGAACUAGGCAAAAUGGUGCCGUAACUUCGGGAGAAGGCACGCUGAUAUGUAGGUGAAGCGACUUGCUCGUGGAGCUGAAAUCAGUCGAAGAUACCAGCUGGCUGCAACUGUUUAUUAAAAACACAGCACUGUGCAAACACGAAAGUGGACGUAUACGGUGUGACGCCUGCCCGGUGCCGGAAGGUUAAUUGAUGGGGUCAGCCGCAAGGCGAAGCUCUUGAUCGAAGCCCCGGUAAACGGCGGCCGUAACUAUAACGGUCCUAAGGUAGCGAAAUUCCUUGUCGGGUAAGUUCCGACCUGCACGAAUGGCGUAAUGAUGGCCAGGCUGUCUCCACCCGAGACUCAGUGAAAUUGAACUCGCUGUGAAGAUGCAGUGUACCCGCGGCAAGACGGAAAGACCCCGUGAACCUUUACUAUAGCUUGACACUGAACAUUGAGCCUUGAUGUGUAGGAUAGGUGGGAGGCUUUGAAGUGUGGACGCCAGUCUGCAUGGAGCCGACCUUGAAAUACCACCCUUUAAUGUUUGAUGUUCUAACGUGGACCCGUGAUCCGGGUUGCGGACAGUGUCUGGUGGGUAGUUUGACUGGGGCGGUCUCCUCCUAAAGAGUAACGGAGGAGCACGAAGGUUGGCUAAUCCUGGUCGGACAUCAGGAGGUUAGUGCAAUGGCAUAAGCCAGCUUGACUGCGAGCGUGACGGCGCGAGCAGGUGCGAAAGCAGGUCAUAGUGAUCCGGUGGUUCUGAAUGGAAGGGCCAUCGCUCAACGGAUAAAAGGUACUCCGGGGAUAACAGGCUGAUACCGCCCAAGAGUUCAUAUCGACGGCGGUGUUUGGCACCUCGAUGUCGGCUCAUCACAUCCUGGGGCUGAAGUAGGUCCCAAGGGUAUGGCUGUUCGCCAUUUAAAGUGGUACGCGAGCUGGGUUUAGAACGUCGUGAGACAGUUCGGUCCCUAUCUGCCGUGGGCGCUGGAGAACUGAGGGGGGCUGCUCCUAGUACGAGAGGACCGGAGUGGACGCAUCACUGGUGUUCGGGUUGUCAUGCCAAUGGCACUGCCCGGUAGCUAAAUGCGGAAGAGAUAAGUGCUGAAAGCAUCUAAGCACGAAACUUGCCCCGAGAUGAGUUCUCCCUGAGACUUUAAGUCUCCUGAAGGAACGUUGAAGACGACGACGUUGAUAGGCCGGGUGUGUAAGCGCAGCGAUGCGUUGAGCUAACCGGUACUAAUGAACCGUGAGGCUUAACC
RNAcentral lists this ribosomal RNA (2901 nucleotides) under Escherichia marmotae. Its description in RNAcentral is "Bacterial large subunit ribosomal RNA". It matches the Rfam family "Bacterial large subunit ribosomal RNA". Lineage: Bacteria; Pseudomonadati; Pseudomonadota; Gammaproteobacteria; Enterobacterales; Enterobacteriaceae. The record is from RNAcentral.